Molecule: transfer RNA, 76 nt
Filed under: Clostridia bacterium
Lineage: Bacteria; Bacillati; Bacillota; Clostridia
Description: tRNA-Ala
Rfam family: tRNA
About the family: Transfer RNA (tRNA) molecules are approximately 80 nucleotides in length. Their secondary structure includes four short double-helical elements and three loops (D, anti-codon, and T loops).
Source: RNAcentral
GGGGCGUUAGCGCAGUUGGUAGCGCACAACACUGGCAGUGUUGGGGUCAGGGGUUCGACUCCCCUACGCUCCACCA